CAAGUCAGAAAUGACCACAGUUCUUGUGAACAAGAGUCCAAGAUCCAAGUCCGAAGACCACCUGCCGGUUCUGCUGUACAAAUCCUGGACAUAAAGAAAUUCAGCAGCCUGACCAAGCUGAUCCGAGUCAUUGCCUGGGUAUGGAGAGCAGUCAGAGAGUGGCGAACUCUGACGAAACGCUCAGCCUCAAGUAAGCUAAAAUAUCAGGACUUUUCCCAACUACCCAGUCUCCUCUGCAAAACCUGCUGAAAAGAAGCGAAAGCAGCACUCAAGUAAAAUCCCGGCCACCAUUCUUCACAGGGACGUCAGACGGAUCAUUGUUUUAAUACCAGUUGAAGAACAAGAACUACAUCAUGCAAACUGAAGGUAAACUUGCCUGAACAGACGAUGAUGUGACCUCUUUGGGUUUAAAAAACCAAGAGGUCAAGUGGGAGGUGUCAAGUCAAAGUACAGAGCAGCACAAACACCAAUUAGUUGUAGAGAACACUCCAGGUCUGAAGGGGCAACAGUGAGAGCUGAGGGCUGAACAUCUCCACCUGCUCAGAGCACAUGGUCAAAAUGUUUGCUCUUCAGUCAGUCACCCCUUUGACAUGCUGCUAAGAGGAAGGAAGACAGCUCAUGUGUGGACUCGGAAGACGCAACUGAUGGUGUUGAAGACCUCGUGGGUCUCCAGGCAGAAGGUGGAGAUGGAGAGCAGGAUGAAGAACAGCGAACCAAACGCCACGUACUGCAGAGAGAGGGGGGAGCCGACAUCUCCUGCAGACAAACCACCUUCGACAUGGGGACCAGGUGGAAGUGAUUAACUAUACACGGAAGAGGUAUGAGAAGAAAGGCGAGUGCAGUACCAGCUACAGCCCAAUGAGGGGGCUGCUGUGCAAAUGUCUCACACUCAAACUAACCAGUAAACAUUUUUUAUGGGCCAAAGCUUAAAAAUCACUUAGGCAUCUUCAGAAUGGAUCUGACUAUUAUUUAAAAAGUUUUCCCUUUAGGGGACCUGUUUUUUUGUCCCCAUACCGUCAAAGGUCCCCUGAAGGUGACUUUGUAAACAG
Molecule: long non-coding RNA, 1049 nt
Organism: Entelurus aequoreus (snake pipefish)
Lineage: Eukaryota; Metazoa; Chordata; Actinopteri; Syngnathiformes; Syngnathidae
Exons: 3
Source: RefSeq, a predicted model, not a curated record